GGGUAUAGCUCAGUGGUAGAGCUCGUGCUUAGCAUGCAUGAGGUCUGAGGUUCAACCCUCAGUACCUCCA
RNAcentral lists this transfer RNA (70 nucleotides) under Camelus bactrianus (Bactrian camel). It matches the Rfam family "tRNA". From Rfam's summary of the family: Transfer RNA (tRNA) molecules are approximately 80 nucleotides in length. Their secondary structure includes four short double-helical elements and three loops (D, anti-codon, and T loops). The record is from Rfam by way of RNAcentral. Lineage: Eukaryota; Metazoa; Chordata; Mammalia; Artiodactyla; Camelidae. RNAcentral also lists the same sequence under 1 other name.